UUCACUAGUGAUUAGAGUUUGAUCCUGGCUCAGGACGAACGCUGGCGGCGUGCUUAACACAUGCAAGUCGACCGGUAAGCGCCCUUCGGGGUACACGAGCGGCGAACGGGUGAGUAACACGUGGGUGAUCUSCCYCGUACUUCGGGAUAAGCCUGGGAAACUGGGUCUAAUACCGGAUAUGACCACAUGCUGCAUGGUGUGUGGUGGAAAGAUUUAUCGGUGCGAGAUGGGCCCGCGGCCUAUCAGCUUGUUGGUGGGGUAAUGGCCUACCAAGGCGACGACGGGUAGCCGACCUGAGAGGGUGACCGGCCACACUGGGACUGAGACACGGCCCAAACUCCUACGGGAGGCAGCAGUGGGGAAUAUUGGACAAUGGGCGCAAGCCUGAUCCAGCCAUGCCGCGUGAGUGAUGAAGGCCCUAGGGUUGUAAAGCUCUUUUGUGUGGGAAGAUAAUGACGGUACCGCAAGAAUAAGCCCCGGCUAACUUCGUGCCAGCAGCCGCGGUAAUACGAAGGGGGCUAGCGUYGCUCGGAAYCACUGGGCGUAAAGGGUGCGUAGGCGGGUCUUUAAGUCAGGGRUGAAAYCCUGGAGCUCAACYCCAGAACUSCCYYYGAYACYGAAGAYCUUGAGUYCGGGGGGGGUGAGUGGAACUGCGAGUGUAGAGGUGAAAUUCGUAGAUAUUCGCAAGAACACCAGUGGCGAAGGCGGCGUCACUGGCCCGAUACUGACGCUGAGGCACGAAAGCGUGGGGAGCAAACAGGAUUAGAUACCCUGGUAGUCAAUCG
Molecule: ribosomal RNA, 785 nt
Filed under: uncultured bacterium
Lineage: Bacteria
Description: bacterial SSU rRNA
Rfam family: Bacterial small subunit ribosomal RNA
Source: RNAcentral